Non-coding RNA from Zonotrichia albicollis (white-throated sparrow), 430 nucleotides. The record is from RefSeq and is a predicted model, not a curated record. Lineage: Eukaryota; Metazoa; Chordata; Aves; Passeriformes; Passerellidae.
GGGGCUGUGGGAGGGGAUGGUGAAGCGGAUUAUUGCAGGCUGUAGGUGGGGAUUUGUGGCGCUGAGGAGAGGUGCGGACCGGGCCGUGGGUGCCGAUGGCUCGAACAAUCCCCCUGGUGCUCUGCCAGGUGCAGAAGGGCGCACACCUGAGGCUUGCGGACAGCUGCAACAUCUCAAAAGGUGUAAAGAGUCCCCAGGUGUCCCGUGAUCCACAUUAUUAUCCAGUGUGAAACUCCCCGCCCCAGGGAGAUGUUCCCACCUGGCCUCAGCAGAUUAUAAACCCCAUGGAUAUGAUGUGUGUUGGACUCCUUCCCUUCACCACUCGAUGUGUGUAGUCUGCAGUCACUUUCUCUCCACCCUAUAAUCUUUUCCCUCUCUCUCCCCACCCUCAUGUUUGCUGUUAAAUAAAAAUCCAUGCUAUUGGCAUUCA